Molecule: ribosomal RNA, 253 nt
Filed under: uncultured prokaryote
Description: partial 16S ribosomal RNA
Rfam family: Bacterial small subunit ribosomal RNA
Source: RNAcentral
ACGGAGGGUGCAAGCGUUAAUCGGAAUUACUGGGCGUAAAGGGCACGCAGGCGGUCUGUUAAGUCAGAUGUGAAAUCCCCGGACUCAACCCGGGAACUGCAUUUGAAACUGGCAGGCUUGAGUCUCGUAGAGGGGGGUGGAAUUCCAGGUGUAGCGGUGAAAUGCGUAGAGAUCUGGAGGAAUACCGGUGGCGAAGGCGGCUCUCUGGACGAAGACUGACGCUCAUGUGCGAAAGCGUGGGGAGCAAACAGGA